AGUGAACGCUGGCGGUAGGCCUAACACAUGCAAGUCGAACGGCAGCACAGUAAGAGCUUGCUCUUACAGGUGGCGAGUGGCGGACGGGUGAGGAAUACAUCGGAAUCUACUUUUUCGUGGGGGAUAACGUAGGGAAACUUACGCUAAUACCGCAUACGACCUACGGGUGAAAGUAGGGGAUCUUCGGACCUUGCGCGAUUGAAUGAGCCGAUGUCGGAUUAGCUAGUUGGCGGGGUAAAGGCCCACCAAGGCGACGAUCCGUAGCUGGUCUGAGAGGAUGAUCCGCCACCCUUGAACUGAGGCACGGUCCCGGCUCCCUAGGGGAGCCGCCGUGGGGGAUAUUUGACCAUUGGCGCCAACCUGGUCCAGCCAUACCGCGUGGGUGAAGAAGGCCUUCGGGUUGUAAAGCCCUUUUGUUGGGAAAGAAAAGCAGCAGGUUAAUACCCCGCUGUUCUGACGGUACCCAAAGAAUAAGCACCGGCUAACUUCGUG
Molecule: ribosomal RNA, 492 nt
Filed under: uncultured bacterium
Lineage: Bacteria
Description: partial 16S ribosomal RNA
Rfam family: Bacterial small subunit ribosomal RNA
Source: RNAcentral